CAUCCGGGUUGAUUUAUUGAUCUUAAUUGUGAGAAGACAUGAAAUGCUUUGAUAGGGAUUUUUAUAUGAUGACAUAAACAUUUCAUGCAUUUCUGUGCCAUUGAACACUUGAACCCCCAAGAAAAUGACGCGUACCAUUUCGACAAAAAUUUUCCAGUUAUAAGUUGUUAACAUUUUGGUUACAUUUUUUGUCGAUAUCUAUAGCUCGUUCUGACAUUGUCUGAGUAAAAGUGACAUGAAGUAAAUGUCAAAAUUUAGAACAUGACCUUGACUUUUGACCUUUGACCUUGACCUCAUUUUCUAUGUUAGGAGUAAAAGAUCUCAAUUAAAAAGAGUCUCGGUUUAUACCGCCUACGGUUUAUGAAUUACAAAAACAUAACGACAAAUUUUAUUGGUAAAUGUAGACAAAUCCUAGAAGAUGUCACUGGAUCGCUUCGAUCAAGAUCAGCCAAAAAUUCCUGAGAAUGUAAUGAACAAAUAGGGAAAAAAAAUUGUCGUUAUCUUUCUUGGUUACGGAGAGGAUACACUAACAAGAAAACAGUGUUUGGGGAGACAAUGCUAAAAAUAAAAAGUCUUCGACUAAACAGACUCAAUUUUAAAAGCGCAAUAACUGUUCGAUAGCAUAUGCAAAAAUAUAUAAGCGACAUCUUGCGAAACCGGGAGCAUGUCAUAAACACUGUACGAACAAUAAACAAAAGAAAAAAGGACACACUUAAAGGCAUAUAUAUUACUCCACAAUUUCCAGACGAUAUGCGUUAAAACAGAAAAAGGCUGAUACAAAAACAAAAGGAGUAUGAUAUAGAUGUAGACACAAAAAAAUAAAAGGAAACAGUCUAUUAUUCAGUAAAAGUGGAACUAAAUAUAUGGAAAAAGUGUCAACACCAAAAGCAAAUUAAAUGUUUGAUGCUACUAGUUUGGUCUAUUUGAACAAACUAGUACCAAUAAAGUUAACGACAAUUGUCACACUUAUUGUGUCACAGCUGCUAUCACCACAACAUAUCCAGAAGUUCGUGAAGCUGUCCGACAAAUAAUGCAGGGCCCAGUAUCAGCAUGCACAUACAACACAUUGGUUUAUAGAUUUACGGACAAAGACGGACAUACACACGAUGGGUACGAUGACGGCAGAGACUACGGAAUUGGAUCAAGAAUACUUGACUAUCUAGAAGAAAUAGAUGCAUCCGUAAUUGCUAUUAUCUCCUCACGUACACCGCCACCAGUUACAGCAAAGAUAGGUUCAAGAAAUACACAAUAUUAUCUUGGAGGGAGUAAUGUCGGUUCUCCGCAAAAAGUAGAAAACAGAAUUUUAUACCAAUAAACUGUUGUCUGAACUUAUUUUGUUAGCAAAGUUAGGUAAUACACAUGUAGUAAAGCAUGCUGAAUGCCAUUUUUUCAUGUUUAUAAUUUGUAAGACAUUGUAUAUUUAAUUUCGUGUAUUCUCUUAUCAACAUGUUCAAAGUCUAUUAACUAUUUUCAAAGUAUCUAGAGUUUAAAUUUUAUUUAUUAAUUUCACUACUAUCUAUCAAGUGUUAGCGAAUUUAUAAAUCCCCAAACUUCAAAUGAAAAUUAUUUCGGUCAUUUGUAGAUAAAACUACAGUACAACCUGUGACAUUCUCUUAAUUAUGUCCACCCUCUUGUAUGGUCAACAUCAAAUGGUGACCAUUUAUUGGGGUAUUAAAUCUUGAGAUGUUGGACUUUUAUUGGGUUCAUAAAACAAUAGGUUGGUGUUUAAUCUUAUUAUGUUAUCUGUUGAAAUCAAUCAGGGUUGAAAUUUUCAGCUUGUAUGUUUCCUUAAAAAUUUACCUGUACAGGUAACUCGUGUUUCUUUUAAAAAUGACAUUUUAACCUAUUGUUGAAAUUGUAAAAUAAAAUGUUUUAGUCUUUGUUAAUUUUUAUUAUUUGUCGAUUUUUCUGUCUUUCAAUUUUGUCUUUUUCUUUUUUUUUAAUGUUUUGAUUUUGUUUAUUUUGAUUUGUUUUAUUUUGUAUUUUUGAUUUGUUUUUAUUAAUUUUUGCAUGUUUCUUUUUUUGUUUUUUUUUUAAUUUCUUCUUGGUAAGAAUCUUGUUGAUGUUGCAGCGGUUGAGAAAUAUGUGUACACUUAUGUGGAUAUAAAUAAUUUCAUUUUUUCAGUAUAUGCAUGUUUAUUUUUAAGUACAUGUAUAAAUAGGAUGUUGUCAUUUUUUAUUUUAGUAUUCUAUAGUUUUAUUGGUGUGUUAUCAGAUAAUAAAAUUCUAAUUACAUUUA
This is a long non-coding RNA of Mytilus californianus (California mussel), 2239 nucleotides long. RefSeq lists it as uncharacterized. The transcript is spliced from 2 exons. The record is from RefSeq and is a predicted model, not a curated record. Lineage: Eukaryota; Metazoa; Mollusca; Bivalvia; Mytilida; Mytilidae.